AGGAACCUCCAGACCUGCACGUGAGAGGCAGGGGCCAGCCUCUGAGAGGAAGACUGAGCUCUGAGCAGAAGGGGGCUGUGUGCUGGGUGGGCAGAGCCUACAGCUAUCCCACCACAGCUGUUGUGUACUGUGAAUGGCAGAUUAAGAAAUGCCUUUGGUUGUGUCUCACAGGACUCACUUGAGAGAGAAUCAGGCUGGCAGAGGUGGUCACCAACAACUUGGAGAAGUGAAGCAAAGACAUCCAAAGCUGCAAAAUACACUGAAAUCCAUCUUGGGAGAAGAAUAUCCUGGUGUCUGGUGAACCUCGCCGGAGCCACCAGCAUGGGAAACCCAGAAACUCCAGAAGAAGAGAGGGCAUUUCGAGUGAAGAAAUAACCAUAGGCGAAGAUCCCAGAAGGUAAACUCAUUCCUUUAAUGCAUCUAAUUCUCCACGAUGCAUGUGGCAGGAGCAGAGACGUUUCACUAGCCCCCAUUGCUCCUCUGGGCUUAAGGAUUGAUGGCCUCUGCAAGUUACAUCCUGGAACUGACUCUCUCCUCUGCCACAGCUGCCUCGAAGCUCAGAUGGAGGAAGGGAACUAAAUCUCCUUUUAUUGUGCAUCUCCUGUGUGCUAGAUGUCAAGUGCCUUCUGCGUAUCCCAUCCUUUCAGCGAUCCUGUGUACAUGUUUGUUUCCUAGCCCCAGGAAGCCUGGCGUCCCAGGAUCUGCCUCUACUUUUUGAAGAGCUUACCUGCAUUGAUAUCAGAGUUCAGGAUAAUUCCACUCAAGGCAGAUUUCUCUCCCCAAGAAAUUCUGACUCACAAAUUGGAGGAGCCUGAUUAAUCAGGAGGGAUUUUGCGGCAAAUGCCAUCAGACAUCCCGCCAUCCCCUUUCAGGAGGGGAGAAGCCCUGCUCUGGCUGGUGUCACCCAGCAAUCAGGACCACCUGUAAGGAUGCAAAGGUGAGAGCCCCCACUGACAUGAAGAUGCACCUUUGGAUUCUGAGUCCUGCCCAGAUCUAAAUCCCAGGAGGUAGCAUCACUCCUCCAGCAGUAGGACGUGGCAGUGCCCUGACAGGAACGUCGAUUCCAACCAAGCAGAAAGCUCAAAGCUGCAGGAAGCACCAGGCUGUAAUGCAAGCUUUCUACCUUUGCUGUGAUGAAAACUUGUUCAGGUCCAAAUGUGGAGCCCGGACACCUUUCAUUGAGAGCAGCCCUGACAUGGUUCUGCUCAAAUAAACUAAAGAUCCCGUUUCCAAUGAUUCAUUUGAUAGAAACAUCAGGAUCACUGAAGCAUGGAUUGGCCUCUGUGAUCCCUCUUCGAAAAACACAGACAGGGAUCAUGAGAUUGUUGAGAUAACAAGAAAGAAGAAAUGGCCAGUUUUUUUCUCUUUCUUUCUUCUUGGCUUUUCUGGCGGCGCUGGCUCCUGGCAUUUGGGGUAACCCACGAGUGUUAGAGAUGACAAUAAAGAAGAGAUGGGAUGUAAAGGAUUACGGAAAAGCUCAGGAGGAUGCUCACCCCAACCCUGCGUAUUCGUUACCCGCACUCAGGACAGGAGUCCUGGCCACCGCUUGGAUCUGGUUCUUGGGCUAAGGAGCUUCUGCUCUGAGCUGGCAGCAGACACCCAAUAAGGUCUCAGUGACAGGGCCCUGCUAAGGGAUAAGGAAGAUACGUGAGGACCCAGGGAAGAGCAGCCUGCUGACUACAAGUUCCUCAAGGGCAAGGACCACGUCUGAUGAAUGUCCCACUGCAGCCCAUCCCACAGCACAGCUGUAUCGUGAUAAAAGCAGAACGAGAGAAUAAAUGAAGGAAUGCAAGGCAGACCCCAAGGAAAGCCAAUGGAGAGGUAAAACCAAGCAGCCCCUGGAGGCCUGAGGAGAGGGUGCUAUCUCCAUCUGGGGGAUCUAGGAUGACUUCCUGGAGGAGGUGGCAUUGGAACUUUGGGGAUUCUCUGGCUGUGAAUUCAGAGGGUUCUCCUGCCUCAUUUAGACAUUCAAAGACGACUUACUAAUUAACAACUGGAGAAAGAAUUCUGCAUGCAGACUGUUUGUACCUUAGCCGAGUGUCCCCAAACUUGGGAAACACAGUAGCACUUUA
RNAcentral lists this long non-coding RNA (2072 nucleotides) under Sus scrofa (pig). Its description in RNAcentral is "lncRNA (ENSSSCG00045022636.1, ENSSSCG00065060830.1)". The record is from RNAcentral. Lineage: Eukaryota; Metazoa; Chordata; Mammalia; Artiodactyla; Suidae.